AUGACCUGCAGGAUUAGACGGCUCUGGGGAUCAUCAGGCAACAUCUGGCUUCCUUUGCCUUCAGCUUCUGCAGCCUCCUGGAACCUUCAUUAUGCACAAGAUGGGCACGAUGGCACCCUGGGGAGAAGCGUUUCAGGAGUCAUUGGUCUCAGCUUCUCCCUGCAGUGCAUUCUACGUGGCGGUAAAUCAGCGUCGAUGGGAACUUGCCUUUUACCUGAUGCCCCCAAGGCCCUGUGGACUGGCUCUGCAAACCAUGGCACUCAGGACAAUCAAGCCACCCUGAGACUUAACCCUGGCCUACUGCCCGAGACUAAAAGAAAUCAGACGAGACUAACAAACUUCGGGCAGAAGCCCCUAAGAGAAAUCAGGCAGUCGAUUAAAUAAACAGUUAAAUGUGGUAGUGAUAAUAAUGGUAUUUUCUGAGCAUAACACACUGCUCUAUACCCUUGGGAAACCACACCUGAAGCAAAACACACAUCUCCUUACCAUAAGGAGCUUACAGCCUACUGGAGGAGCUAAAUAGUCAAUCCCUUCCUGGCAGAGAAAUCUGGGUUCAUGGGGGAAACUCUGGACUCUCUUAGUCUUGGAACAUGGCAAGGGGGAGGAGGAGCUGGGAAUAGGCAUGAGGGCAGCACUGGCACUGGCUAGUGGUGUAGGGGCUGGGGGAAAGGAAAUGUGGGCACCCAAUGGGAUCUCUGGCAUUCUGAGUAGGUGUGAAGAUGGCAGAGCCAUGGGGCCGGAACCUGGGAACUCAGGGCAAACAGCCAACUAAAUCACAGCAGGGAAGAGUGCAGACCUCCGGGGAGGGAAGUAGACAGGACCCCAAACCCAACCAAUGUGACAGAAGCGUCCACCCAAGCCAAAAUUCAGGAAUGCACACUAUGAUUUUAAAUUGCAUUCUGCACCUCUAAAUCCAAGGGGCGCAGAAGGAAAAGUCUUUUUUACAUACUGAAACCUAAAAGCGCUCCACUGAACACGUCGUUCUGCUUCCCGGUAAACUCUGGUGAAUUUCUGGCAAAAUAAAAUUGACUAAAUAUAGCCAAGAACCUGUUCGGAACUAGAAAGCAAACCUGGGAUUAACUGUCAGACUGGGGAAAGCAAUACCUUCAAAAUCAUACUGAGACUCGUCGAGGGGACCAGAGGAAUGGAGAAGGAACAGAAGCGGGAGGGGGUGCCCGGGGAGCCCCUAGGACGAAGCUGCCUUUCUGGGCUCGGUGUCUUAAGCGUCACCCAGAUAGAUGGCCAUCUUCCAGAGUGAAAGCUCCUUCAGGCAGGAAAUGUGCCUUGUGCUUCUGCGGUACUUUCCGAGUGUUCAGUACAGCACACGGCAUUUCUCACCCUAUUUCUCCUUUGUGCAUUGCCUAGGAACUUUCCAUAAGCACUUUCCUACACACUCCACCCAGACAGCCCUUGUGUAUAGAAACAGGAUGGUAUAGUGGAUAGAGCAUGGGCCUGGGAGUCAGAAGGUCAUGGAUUCUAAUCCCUGCUCCACCAUAUGACUGCUGUGUGUCCUUGGGCAAGUCAUUUCACUUCUCUGGGCCUCAGUUACCUCAUGUGUAAAAUGGUGAUUGAGACUGUGAGCCCCACUUGGGACAGGGACUGUGUCCAACCCGAUUUGCUUGUACCCUUCCCCACGCUUAGUACAGUGCCUGGCACUUAGUAAGGGCUUAACAAAUGCCACAAUUCUUAUUACAAUUAUUAUCCCCACACUCUGCUACUUUCCUUAUCUGUAAUUUAUUUCACCGUCUUCCCCUCUUAGACUGUUAACUCUUUGAGGCCUGGGAUCAGGUCUACCAACUCUAUGUAUUAUACUCAGUACAGUGAUCUGCCCCAGUAAGCACUCAAUAAAUACCAC
RNAcentral lists this long non-coding RNA (1855 nucleotides) under Ornithorhynchus anatinus (platypus). RNAcentral describes it as "lncRNA (ENSOANG00000049576.1)". The record is from RNAcentral. Lineage: Eukaryota; Metazoa; Chordata; Mammalia; Monotremata; Ornithorhynchidae.